Molecule: long non-coding RNA, 2730 nt
Organism: Pocillopora damicornis (cauliflower coral)
Lineage: Eukaryota; Metazoa; Cnidaria; Anthozoa; Scleractinia; Pocilloporidae
Source: RefSeq, a predicted model, not a curated record
ACCAUAACUUCAUACAUGUUUCGUUCCAUUAGUUAAUGUAGACAAGUCCGAACCUUAUCGGGGAAAGUUUCAGUGAAGACUGAAAUGAGACCCUUAAUGCUUCAAUUUGUUAUGAUUAUUUUUAUGAUGAACCUUGGUUAUUUUUACUUAUUUCGUUGAUAAUCAUGCAUGAAAUACAAGGGGUACACCCAAUGCUGUGCAUUGAAAUCAUACGUGACUUCCUCGGAAACACGAUAUCCUGGAUAACCUAGUAUAAUAAUUUGCUAAUUUAGAACAUUUCGUGGAAAUUACUUGGCCUCAUAGAAUCUUUAAGAUCAUUAUCUUCCAGACAAAAUGAAUGCCGCUUCUAAUAUCCAGAGUGAAAUUAUGGCAAGCCAAACAAGGCAAACUUGGGUUGUUCAAAAUUACCUAUCGAGUUAUCACUAUAUGAGAAAUAUAAUUUACCGAACGAGAAUGAAAAACUGUCAUGUGAGAUUUUAAAUCACCCAUAGACAGUGGAAAAACAUUAAUCGAGGAAAAGACUGAUGCAACAAGAUUCCGAGAAAUAAAUAUUGACUGUUGAGAAUGAGAAAUUGUUGCAUGAGAAAAAGAAGUUACUACACGAGAUUAUCGAUUAGUUUUCCUGAGCCCGUGUACAGCAAUCAGUCAGGGGAGUGUAUUUCUCGCAAAAUGGCGGAGCAACGGAGUGCAGAAGACUUUACAGCAUUUGUAAUUUUGUUGAUUCUCUCAGGAGUACCAUCGAAAGAACCGCUUCCGUUUAUCACGCAUAUGAUCAUGAACGAUUAGAAAUCUGUGCUAGGAAGCUUGAAGAACACAUAGGAAUGGUUAUCGCGAUAUCUCUGUCCCAAAAUUCCUCUCCAGACCUGUUUGAGGUGUUAGAGCUGUGUUAUUCAGAAGGUCGUCUGAUAUUUUAAAUGCAUCAAGCUUUCGUCCAAAGGAAAAAAAUCCGUUGGCAUUAUCUGCAAGUUCAGGAGGAAGACCGAGGUACAUAAUUACAAGGUAAAUGAUCGAGCAACUGCGUAAGACUGGUAUGAACUAGAGAACUAAUAGCAACAUGCCUUGGAAUCUCCGACCAAACACUACACACACAAACGAUCGAGUUUGGAGUAAGAAACAGUUUCACAGAUAUUACGGCUGAAGAAUUAGACGCGCAGCAACAGCAGACUCCCAAUUUAACGCCCUAUAGCGGGGAAACCUAUGUUAGGGGCAGUCUCAAAGUGGUUAAAAAAUUGCACCGAACACAAAGAGAGGAAGAAAAUUUGAUUCAUGAUUUGUCUGGAGGUUGAAAAUGAAAGUCAUGACACUUUUUAGCAGCUGUCACAGAUAGAAGCUCUAGCAUUGGUCCAGAUGUUCUGGCAAUAGGAUGUUGCUGCAACCCUUCUAGGGUAGUAAAGUGCACAUCAAUGUUUUGAAAAUUGUAGAACCAUAAGAACAUGGAUAGAGAUUUGCCUUUCAUUGACUUUACAAACCAUUUCAGGUGUUCAAAGAAUGUACAUUCUGCUUUAUUUGCUGGUUCAGCUUUGAAUAACUUGUUAAUUUUCUUGGAUGUUAGCUGCUUACUUUGGUAAAAGAUGUCGAGUUUCUUGAGGAACUGAAAGUUUUAUUUAAAGCAUAAUACCUUGAGAAUUGGAUUCCAGUAGUUGAUCACAUAUCUUGGCCUCUGGACAAGUUCCUGGUGGGUAAGCUUUAUGAUUAUGGCUUCAAUGUUGUUCUUACUUGGUGCUUUAAAACACUUGAAUGAUGUAAGUAAGUCCGAGACAUCUUCAUCACUAGGUUCAAAAUCAUCACCAAGGCACUUUUCUAAUGCCUCUCUAUCUUCUGUAGCUAAAAAUUGUCUAAAGCUUUUUAUCAAAGUCUCUGAAGUGAUAACAUCAUCCCCAUAAAGACACAGGGCCACAAAGAGGUGACACAAAUUUAAUGGGAUGUAAAAUUUCAGGAAUGAUGCUCUGCAUGUCAUGCCUAAUAAAUGAACUUUUCCAUUGUUUCCAAUCAUCAGUGAUAUGAAGCACUUUUGCCAAAAGCAUGCUAAAAGAUCUAGAAGAAUCCCCUUACCUUCUCACUCCUCUUCUUGCCCAGCAGUGCCAAUAUGUGGAGAUGGUAGUUCAAAGUACUUUCAUCUUUGAAAAUCUGCAUCACUUCUUCCCGAAUAGCAACUUGAGUAGGCCAUCAUCAAUGGUUUAAUCCUGUGAAAUGCCUUGAGCUGCAGGCAGUUUACUUAUGCUUUCAAUGGGUGGCUGCUGUGGAAACCGUUCAGUGAUCUCUUAUCAGCUGACAUUAUUGGGACUGGCAAGAGUUAGUUAUUGGGACUAAAUAAUGGCCUGUCCUUCGCUCGAUCUAGAGGCACUUCAUAAUUGGGAUUUAUGGUUACACUCGCGUUUGCAGCAUGAGCUUGUCUAGCACUAAGACUUGUUUCAGUGUAAGAGGGUACACUCUGUGUAGGAUUUAUGGUUGCAGUAGAAGUUGUAGCAUGAGUUUGUGCACCAGUUGAGCCUACUAUGCGGGUGUGCAGUAUAUUCUGUCUGAAGUUUGGUGUUACCGUUGAAGUUGAAGCAUGAGCUCGUGUGAAAGUUGGACCUGUUUCAGUGGCAUGAGGUAGUCUCUGUACAGGAUUUGCUAUUAUAGUUAAACCAGCACAGGAGGGAUUGCCUGUAAGUUUUGUCACCGGAUCUGGUAACAUUGCUGCUAGCAAGUUAUCAUCAUCAUCAAAUUCAAAUUCUGGAUCAUCUUUAG